RNAcentral lists this ribosomal RNA (250 nucleotides) under uncultured bacterium. RNAcentral describes it as "partial 16S ribosomal RNA". It matches the Rfam family "Bacterial small subunit ribosomal RNA", at positions 81 to 334 of the family's 1533-position model. The record is from RNAcentral.
UUCUUUGCUGGCGACCGGCGCACGGGUGAGUAACACGUAUCCAACCUGCCCUUUACUCGGGAUAGCCUUUCGAAAGAAAGAUUAAUACCCGAUAGCAUAAUGAUUCCGCAUGGUUUCAUUAUUAAAGGAUUCCGGUAAAGGAUGGGGAUGCGUUCCAUUAGGUUGUUGGUGGGUAACGGCCCACCAAGCCUUCGAUGGAUAGGGGUUCUGAGAGGAAGGUCCCCCACAUUGGAACUGAGACACGGUCCAA